GCACACGGAUAAAGGGAAAGUGGGGUGUAUAUAAAGAAAGAAUGCAGGGCGAUGAAAUUUAAAUGAAACACAAUAGUUCUCUUCCUCUUGUUGCAGGAGGGGGAACAUAAGGCUAUUUGUUUUUUCCCCCUUUUUCUACUGUAUGGCAUCGGGAGACUCCUGUGAAAGAGCAGUUGAGACAACAGACGGAGAUGAACACACUCCAGCUGGAGAACGAUGAAUGGCCCAGGGGACUUGGACUGAGGGAACACGUGCAGACCCAAUCAACAGACAAUACCGCGCGGCUUGAGGUUGCCAGGGCACAGUAGGGGUUCCAUAAGCGUUGGUUUAAGCGUCUGUGGUGAUGGGGUCUUUGAAGAUGGAGGAAGACAUCUGUCUGGAUGACAAGGACAGGACAAGUCAACCUGUCUCACCUCAAGGACUGCUGGCUAUGGGGAUGGAUGAUAGCACCAGAAAAAAAUGUAUGUUCCUCAAAUACAUGAAGUUCUAUCAAGCCAUCCAGAACUAUAGUAUGUGAAAUUAUGCUAAAUCAAGUUUCGUUGGAAAUGUCCACUUCCUGUGUUUAAGACCGAUGUAUGCAGUGGCCUAGCAAGACAACUCUUUAAGAUCUUCUACAUGUUUCAAUCUUUCUUACUGUAGCUAUAUGCAGUAUUACUAUCUGUGUGUUUAGAGUCAAUGUGACUAACUGCCUGCCCCAGGGUCAAAUCCCUCUCUUUAUAAACUGGGUGGUUCGAACCCUGAGUGCUGAUUGGCUGAAAGCUGUGGUAUAUCAGACCGUAUACGAUGGGUAUGACAAAAAACAUCUAUGUUUACAUCUAUGUUUACUGUUCUAAUUACAUUUGUAACAAGUUUCUAGCAAUAAGACACCUCAGGGGUUUGUGGUAUAUGGCCAAUAUCCACAAAAUGACAUAAAGUAUGUGGACACCUGCUCGUCGAACAUUUCAUUCCAAAGUCAUGGGCAUUAAUAUGGAGUUGGUCCCCCCUUUGCUGCUAUAACAGCCUCCACUCUUCUGGGAAGGCUUUCCACUAGAUGUUGGAACAUUGCUGCAGGGACUUGCUUGAAAUCCAGCCAUAAGAGCAGUAGUGAGGUCAGGCACUGACGUUGGGCGAUUAGGCCUGGCUCACAUUCGGCUUUCCAAUUCAUCCCAUAGGUGUUCGAUGGAGUUUGAGGCCAGUCAAGUUCUUCCACACCGAUCUCGACAAACCAUUUCUGUAUGGACCUCGCUUUGUGCACAGGGGCAUUUUCAUGCUGAAACAGGAAAAGGCCUUCCCCAAACUGUUGGAAGCACAGAAUCAUCUAGAAUGUCAUUGUAUGGUGUAGCGUUAAGAUUUCCCUUCACUCGAAAUAAGGGGCCUAGCCCAAACCAUGAAAAACAGCCCCAGUCCAUUAUUCCUCCUCCACCAAACUUUACAGUUGGCACUAUGCAUUCGGACAGGUAGCAUUCUCCUGGCAUUUGCCAAACCCAUUUCCACUGCUCCAGAGUCCAAUAGCUUUACACUACUCCAGCCAACACGUGGCAUUGCGCAUGGCUUGUGUGCGGCUGCUCGGCCAUGGAAACCCAUUUCAUGAAGCUCCCGACGAACAGUUCUUGUGCUGACGUUGCUUCCAGAGGCAGUUUGGAAUUCGGUAGUGAGUGUUGCAACUGAGGUCAGACACGCUUCAGCACUCGCCGGUCCCGUUCUGUGAGCUUGUGUAGCCUACCACAUCGCGGCUGAGCCGUUGUUGCUCCUAGACAUUUCCACUUCACAAUAGCAGCACUCACAGUUGACCGGUGCAGCUAAAGCAGGACAGAAUUUGACGAACUGACUUAUUGGAAAGGUGGCAUCCUAUGACGGUGCCACAUUGAAAGUCACCGAGCUCUUCAGUAAGGCCAUUCUACUGCCAAUGUUUGUCUAUGGAGAUUGCAUGGCGGUGUGCUGUAUUUUAUACAACUGUCAGCAAUGGGUAUGGUUGAAAUAGCUGAAUCCACUAAUUUGAAGAGGUGUCCACAUAGUUUUGUAUAUAUAGUGUACCACGGCUUAGGGCUGUAUCCAAGAACAGCUCAUAGCUGUGGUAUAUUGGCCAUAUACCACACCUCCUCGGGCCUUAUUACUUAAUUUGAGCUCUUCACUGGGAACAAACCAACAGGAUCAAGUUCCGCUGCUGACAAGAAGCCCCAGCUACGUCAAGUGUUAAGUUCCACACAAUAGUCUCCACAGCACACGGCCUGUCCUUACUGCCUAUUGAAUAACACACAUCGUUGCCCGGCGAGGAGACAAGGAAACGUGUCAAACUGAUAUCAAAAGGGUUUCUGCAUGGUAGUCAUGUCAUUGUCACUUAUAUGGUAUGUGUGAUAAGCAACAGGAAGGUAAGUUACUGUGAACUCAAGAACCAAAUGUCACUUUGGUCAACAUAAAUGAUAAACCACGAUACAAUUGUGUCUACUGUGUUAUAUAACCAUGGUGAAUAAAAUUAUA
Molecule: long non-coding RNA, 2457 nt
Organism: Oncorhynchus nerka (sockeye salmon)
Lineage: Eukaryota; Metazoa; Chordata; Actinopteri; Salmoniformes; Salmonidae
Exons: 3
Source: RefSeq, a predicted model, not a curated record